AACGAACGCUGGCGGCAUGCCUAACACAUGCGAGUCGAACGAGACCUUCGGGUCUAGUGGCGCACGGGUGCGUAACGCGUGGGAACCUGCCCUUAGGUUCGGAAUAACUCCCCGAAAGGGGUGCUAAUACCGGAUAAUGUCUUCGGACCAAAGAUUUAUCGCCUUUGGAUGGGCCCGCGUUGGAUUAGCUAGUUGGUAGGGUAAAAGCCUACCUAGGCGACGAUCCAUAGCUGGUCUGAGAGGAUGAUCAGCCACACUGGGACUGAGACACGGCCCAGACUCCUACGGGAGGCAGCAGUGGGGAAUAUUGGACAAUGGGCGAAAGCCUGAUCCAGCAAUGCCGCGUGAAUGAUGAAGGCCUUAGGGUUGUAAAGCUCUUUUACCCGGGAUGAUAAUGACAGUACCGGGAGAAUAAGCUCCGGCUAACUCCGUG
This 433-nucleotide ribosomal RNA is filed under the name uncultured bacterium. RNAcentral's name for it is "partial 16S ribosomal RNA". It matches the Rfam family "Bacterial small subunit ribosomal RNA", at positions 29 to 507 of the family's 1533-position model. The record is from RNAcentral.